Molecule: long non-coding RNA, 534 nt
Filed under: Phoenix dactylifera (date palm)
Lineage: Eukaryota; Viridiplantae; Streptophyta; Magnoliopsida; Arecales; Arecaceae
Description: long non-coding RNA (PDAC_LNC005512)
Source: RNAcentral
UUUUGUCAUCCAUCCCCCUAUAUAGAUCUCAAAACGCUAUAUCCUCUAUCAUAUAUAUGCUUGCACGGUCUUAAAGCGCCCCAUCCUUUAUCAUUCAUCUGUCUGCAUGGAUCUAAAAGCACUCCAUCAUCUGAUAUUCAUCUGAUUGUUUAGAUUCCAAAGUGAUCCAUCCUCUAUUAUCCAUAUACCUGCACAAAUCUUAAAAUGCUUUAUCCUUUAUUAUCCAUCCACCUGCAUAGAUCACGAAACAUUCAAUUCUUUGCCAUCCAUCGACCUACAUAGAUAUCUAAGUGCUCCAUCCUCUAUCAUUCGUCCGCCUACAAGAUCUCAAAGUGCUAUAUUUUUUAUCAUCCAUCCGCUUGCAUAAAUUUGAUAGCACUUUCUUUCUAUCAUCCAUACACAUACACAUAUCUUAUAGCAUUCCAUUCUCUACCAUCCAUCCAUAUACACAGAUCUUAUUGCACUUACCCUCAAUCAUCCUUACACGUACACAAUCUCCAUCUUUUAUCAUCCAUCCAAUUACACAAAUCUAAA